Long non-coding RNA from Osmia bicornis bicornis, 1107 nucleotides. RefSeq lists it as uncharacterized. The record is from RefSeq and is a predicted model, not a curated record. Lineage: Eukaryota; Metazoa; Arthropoda; Insecta; Hymenoptera; Megachilidae. The transcript has 3 exons.
ACACUUGUACCACCAUGAAUAUAAAAUUAAACUAAAUCAUAACAGUAACUUUAAUUCAAUUAAUUCAGAAUGAAUGAACAAUGACGGAAUGAAAGAAUAAACGACUGAUCAGUGAAGUUAUUAAUAAAGAAAUUAAAGAGACAGAAGUGAAUAGAAAGCAUAAAGUAUGAAGUGAAAGCCACGACUGGCAUAAUAUAAUAAUAUAGGGUAAAGCAACGCAGUGUAAUAUAAUACAAUGUAAUAUAAUAUAAUGUAAAACAAAUGAUAUAUAAUAAAAUAAAGUAGAAUAUAAAAUACAAGAAGUGGACUCAAAAUAUAACCGUAAAGCUUAUUAACUGAAUACUCUAUUUCUUUACCAAAGUAAAUUAUAUGUUAAAUGGUAAAUGGUGGAUGAUAAGUGAUCAUGUCAAUGCAAAUGUAAAUAGAACCAAUUAUUUCAUGACAUUUCAAAAUAAGGAAAUAAACAACACGUAAAUAAAUCAAAUCAAAUGUAAACUGUGUAAUUCAGUUAAACACUAUGCUACUGCAUAGUGUAAGAAUAAAUAAAUCAAUCAAUCAAUAAGUAAAGUAUUUUAAACUAAUAUUUAAAAUGGUGAAAUUAAACAGAACCCGCGCACCAUGAAAGCAUUUGAAUAGACAAAACCACUCAUCAUCACAGAAGAAUAGCAAAAUUAAUUAAGAUAAAUCAAAUCAAAUCACCAACCUCAACUGAUCAGAAUGAAUAAAUGAAUGAAUAACGAAUAACGAAUGAGUUAAUGAAUGAAUGAAUAAAUCAAGGAAGAGAGAAACAGCAGAAUACCAGCAAGUACGAGUAAGCAAUAUAACCCUAAUGUGCCAAAGCCACGGUGUCAAAAUUAGGAUGCAAGCACUAGUUAAAAGGAACGACAUUGAAUAAGAGAACUGAAUUGCAGCUGAAAAGGAAAAGAAAAGAAAGGAAACAAGAAACAGCCCACCGUCAUGGAAGAGCAGCAUUAUGACCAGAGAGAGACGUCAUGAAUAAAUUGAAUUAAAGAAUAUCAAAAGAACAUCAAAACGUCCAAUGAAUAUCGAGGAUGCACAGGAAAAUCAAGAACCAAAUCAAGAAGCGAUAAUGAAAUAAAAUGAAUA